RNAcentral lists this ribosomal RNA (253 nucleotides) under uncultured bacterium. Its description in RNAcentral is "partial 16S ribosomal RNA". It matches the Rfam family "Bacterial small subunit ribosomal RNA", at positions 524 to 776 of the family's 1533-position model. The record is from RNAcentral.
UACGUAGGGGGCAAGCGUUGUCCGGAAUCAUUGGGCGUAAAGAGCGUGUAGGCGGCUCGGUAAGUCCGCUGUGAAAGUCCAGGGCUCAACCCUGGAAUGCCGGUGGAAACUGUCGAGCUUGAGUCCGGAAGAGGCGAGUGGAAUUCCUGGUGUAGCGGUGAAAUGCGUAGAUAUCUGGAGGAACACCGGUGGCGAAGGCGGCAUCCUGGACCAACACUGACGCUGAUGAGCGAAAGCCAGGGGAGCAAACGGG